CACAGGGAGACCUCAGGGGAUGCUGAGACAUGGGGACACAGAUACACAUGGGGACACAGAUACAAAUGGGGACACUUGGGGACACUGAGACAUAGAGACAAUGAGACACUAGGGUACGCUGGAAGAUAUGGGGACAUAGACAGUUGGGGACACAGAAACACAUGGAGACACUUAGGGACACUGAGACAUGGGGAAACAGACACACAUGGG
This is a non-coding RNA of Pelobates cultripes (western spadefoot toad), 210 nucleotides long. The record is from the annotation of a GenBank genome assembly. Lineage: Eukaryota; Metazoa; Chordata; Amphibia; Anura; Pelobatidae.